This is a non-coding RNA of Phyllopteryx taeniolatus (common seadragon), 69 nucleotides long. The record is from the annotation of a RefSeq genome assembly. NCBI's taxonomy places the organism in Eukaryota, Metazoa, Chordata, Actinopteri, Syngnathiformes, Syngnathidae.
GGUAUAGCUCAGUGGUAGAGCAUUUGACUGCACAUCAAGAGGUUAUGUGUUCAAAUCACAUCAGGAUCA